Molecule: ribosomal RNA, 497 nt
Filed under: uncultured bacterium
Lineage: Bacteria
Description: partial 16S ribosomal RNA
Rfam family: Bacterial small subunit ribosomal RNA
Source: RNAcentral
GAUGAACGCUGGCGGCGUGCCUAAUACAUGCAAGUCAAGCGAACAGAUGAGGAGCUUGCUCCUCUGACGUUAGCGGCGGACGGGUGAGCAACACGUGGAUAACCUACCUAUAAGACUGGGAUAACUUCGGGAAACCGGAGCUAAUACCGGAUAAUAUAUUGAACCGCAUGGUUCAAUAGUGAAAGACGGUUUUGCUGUCACUUAUAGAUGGAUCCGCGCCGCAUUAGCUAGUUGGUAAGGUAACGGCUUACCAAGGCAACGAUGCGUAGCCGACCUGAGAGGGUGAUCGGCCACACUGGAACUGAGACACGGUCCAGACUCCUACGGGAGGCAGCAGUAGGGAAUCUUCCGCAAUGGGCGAAAGCCUGACGGAGCAACGCCGCGUGAGUGAUGAAGGUCUUCGGAUCGUAAAACUCUGUUAUUAGGGAAGAACAAAUGUGUAAGUAACUAUGCACGUCUUGACGGUACCUAAUCAGAAAGCCACGGCUAACUACGUG